CUGCAUGUCUAAGUAUAAGCAAUUAUACGGCGAAACUGCGAAUGGCUCAUUAUAUAAGUUAUCGUUUAUUUGAUAGCACCUUACUACUUGGAUAACCGUGGUAAUUCUAGAGCUAAUACAUGCUGAAAAUCCCGACUUCGGAAGGGAUGUAUUUAUUGGAUUAAAAACCAAUGCCCUCUGGGCUCUCUGGUGAUUCACGAUAACUUCUCGAAUCGCAUGGCCUUGCGCCGGCGAUGGUUCAUUCAAAUUUCUUCCCUAUCAACUUUCGAUGUUUGGGUAGUGGCCAAACAUGGUUGCAACGGGUAACGGAGGGUUAGGGCUCGACCCCGGAGAAGGAGCCUGAGAAACGGCUACUACAUCCAAGGAAGGCAGCAGGCGCGCAAAUUACCCAAUCCCGACACGGGGAGGUAGUGACAAUAAAUACUGAUACAGGGCUCUUUUGGGUCUUGUAAUUGGAAUGAGUACAUUUAAAUCCCUUAACGAGGAACAAUUGGAGGGCAAGUCUGGUGCCAGCAGCCGCGGUAAUUCCAGCUCCAAUAGCGUAUAUUAAAGUUGUUGUGGUUAAAAAGCUCGUAGUUGAACCUUGGGCCUGGCUGGCCGGUCCGCCUCACCGCGUGCACUGGUCCGGCCGGGCCUUUCCCUCUGUGGAACCCCAUGCCCUUCACUGGGCGUGGCGGGGAAACAGGACCUUUACUUUGAAAAAAUUAGAGUGCUCCAGGCAGGCCUAUGCUCGAAUACAUUAGCAUGGAAUAAUGAAAUAGGACGUGCGGUUCUAUUUUGUUGGUUUCUAGGACCGCCGUAAUGAUUAAUAGGGACAGUCGGGGGCAUCAGUAUUCAAUUGUCAGAGGUGAAAUUCUUGGAUUUAUUGAAGACUAACUACUGCGAAAGCAUUUGCCAAGGAUGUUUUCAUUAAUCAGGAACGAAAGUUAGGGGAUCGAAGACGAUCAGAUACCGUCGUAGUCUUAACCAUAAACUAUGCCGACUAGGGAUCGGACGAUGUUAUUUUUUGACUCGUUCGGCACCUUACGAGAAAUCAAAGUGCUUGGGCUCCAGGGGGAG
RNAcentral lists this ribosomal RNA (1059 nucleotides) under Purpureocillium atypicola. RNAcentral describes it as "SSU rRNA". It matches the Rfam family "Eukaryotic small subunit ribosomal RNA", at positions 51 to 1123 of the family's 1831-position model. Lineage: Eukaryota; Fungi; Ascomycota; Sordariomycetes; Hypocreales; Ophiocordycipitaceae. The record is from RNAcentral.